This 238-nucleotide ribosomal RNA is filed under the name uncultured bacterium. Its description in RNAcentral is "partial 16S ribosomal RNA". It matches the Rfam family "Bacterial small subunit ribosomal RNA", at positions 96 to 334 of the family's 1533-position model. The record is from RNAcentral.
UGGCGGACGGGUGAGUAACGCGUGGGUAACCUGCCUCAUACAGGGGGAUAACAGUUAGAAAUGACUGCUAAUACCGCAUAAGACCACAGCACCGCAUGGUGCAGGGGUAAAAACUCCGGUGGUAUGAGAUGGACCCGCGUCUGAUUAGGUAGUUGGUGGGGUAACGGCCUACCAAGCCGACGAUCAGUAGCCGACCUGAGAGGGUGACUGGCCACAUUGGGACUGAGACACGGCCCAA